GGGUGAGUAACGCGUGGGAACGUACCUCUUAGUUCGGAAUAACCAUUGGAAACGAUGGCUAAUACCGGAUACUCCCUUCGGGGGAAAGAUUUAUCGCUGAGAGAUCGGCCCGCGUAAGAUUAGGUAGUUGGUAGGGUAAUGGCCUACCAAGCCUACGAUCUUUAGCUGGUCUGAGAGGAUGAUCAGCCACACUGGAACUGAGACACGGUCCAGACUCCUACGGGAGGCAGCAGUGGGGAAUAUUGGACAACGGGCGAAAGCCUGAUCCAGCCAUGCCGCGUGAAUGAUGAAGGCCUUAGGGUUGUAAAGUUCUUUUGUCAGGGAAGAUAAUGACAGUACCUGAAGAAUAAGCACCGGCUAACUUCGUGCCAGCAGCCGCGGUAAUACGAAGGGUGCUAGCGUUGUUCGGAAUUACUGGGCGUAAAGCGCGCGUAGGCGGCUAUUCAAGUCAGGGGUGAAAUCCCGGAGCUUAACUCCGGAACUGCCUUUGAAACUGUAUAGCUGGAGGAUGUGAGGGGAUAGCGGAAUUCCUAAUGUAGAGGUGAAAUUCGUAGAUAUUAGGAGGAACACCGGUGGCGAAGGCGGCUAUCUGGCACAUUUCUGACGCUGAGGCGCGAAAGCGUGGGGAUCAAACAGGAUUAGAUACCCUGGUAGUCCACGCUGUAAACGAUGAGUGCUAGCCGUUAGGUUCUUAGAACUUAGUGGCGUCGCUAACGCA
This 718-nucleotide ribosomal RNA is filed under the name uncultured Alphaproteobacteria bacterium. RNAcentral's name for it is "bacterial SSU rRNA". It matches the Rfam family "Bacterial small subunit ribosomal RNA", at positions 104 to 859 of the family's 1533-position model. Lineage: Bacteria; Pseudomonadati; Pseudomonadota; Alphaproteobacteria. The record is from RNAcentral.